This 464-nucleotide ribosomal RNA is filed under the name uncultured bacterium. Its description in RNAcentral is "bacterial SSU rRNA". It matches the Rfam family "Bacterial small subunit ribosomal RNA", at positions 339 to 796 of the family's 1533-position model. The record is from RNAcentral.
CUGCGGGAGGCAGCAGUAGGGAAUCUUGCGCAAUGGGCGAAAGCCUGACGCAGCGACGCCGCGUGGGUGAUGAAGGCCUUCGGGUUGUAAAGCUCUGUGGGGAGAGACGAAUAAGCACUGGCUAAUAUCCAAUGUGAUGACGGUAUCUCCUUAGCAAGCACCGGCUAACUCUGUGCCAGCAGCCGCGGUAAGACAGAGGGUGCAAACGUUGUUCGGAAUUACUGGGCGUAAAGCGUGUGUAGGCGGCCAACUAAGUCGGAUGUGAAAGCCCGGGGCUCAACCCCGGAAGUGCACUCGAUACUGGUUGGCUUGAGUACUGGAGAGGUUGGUGGAAUUCUCGGUGUAGAGGGGAAAUUCGUAGAUAUCGAGAGGAACACCGGCGGCGAAGGCGGCCAACUGGACAGAUACUGACGCUGAGACACGAAAGCGUGGGGAGCAAACAGGAUUAGAUACCCUUGUAGUCC